RNAcentral lists this ribosomal RNA (703 nucleotides) under Clostridium sp. T60C2. Its description in RNAcentral is "bacterial SSU rRNA". It matches the Rfam family "Bacterial small subunit ribosomal RNA", at positions 60 to 779 of the family's 1533-position model. The record is from RNAcentral. Lineage: Bacteria; Bacillati; Bacillota; Clostridia; Eubacteriales; Clostridiaceae.
AGUCGAGCGAUGAAGCUUCCUUCGGGAAGUGGAUUAGCGGCGGACGGGUGAGUAACACGUGGGUAACCUGCCUCAAAGUGGGGGAUAGCCUUCCGAAAGGAAGAUUAAUACCGCAUAACAUAAGAGAAUCGCAUGAUUUUCUUAUCAAAGAUUUAUUGCUUUGAGAUGGACCCGCGGCGCAUUAGCUAGUUGGUAAGGUAACGGCUUACCAAGGCAACGAUGCGUAGCCGACCUGAGAGGGUGAUCGGCCACAUUGGAACUGAGACACGGUCCAGACUCCUACGGGAGGCAGCAGUGGGGAAUAUUGCGCAAUGGGGGAAACCCUGACGCAGCAACGCCGCGUGGGUGAUGAAGGUCUUCGGAUUGUAAAGCCCUGUUUUCUGGGACGAUAAUGACGGUACCAGAGGAGGAAGCCACGGCUAACUACGUGCCAGCAGCCGCGGUAAUACGUAGGUGGCGAGCGUUGUCCGGAUUUACUGGGCGUAAAGGGUGCGUAGGCGGAUGUUUAAGUGGGAUGUGAAAUCCCCGGGCUUAACCUGGGGGCUGCAUUCCAAACUGGAUAUCUAGAGUGCAGGAGAGGAAAGCGGAAUUCCUAGUGUAGCGGUGAAAUGCGUAGAGAUUAGGAAGAACACCAGUGGGCGAAGGCGGCUUUCUGGACUGUAACUGACGCUGAGGCACGAAAGCGUGGGUAGCAAACAGGAUU